GAGCCCGCGUCCCAUUAGCUAGUUGGUGAGGUAAAAGCUUACCAAGGCGACGAUGGGUAGCCGACCUGAGAGGGUGAUCGGCCACACUGGAACUGAGACACGGUCCAGACUCCUACGGGAGGCAGCAGUGGGGAAUAUUGCACAAUGGGGGAAACCCUGAUGCAGCAACGCCGCGUGAGCGAUGAAGGCCUUCGGGUCGUAAAGCUCUGUCCUAAGGGAAGAUAAUGACGGUACCUUAGGAGGAAGCCCCGGCUAACUACGUGCCAGCAGCCGCGGUAAUACGUAGGGGGCAAGCGUUAUCCGGAAUAACUGGGCGUAAAGGGUGCGUAGGCGGCCCUGCAAGUCAGAAGUGAAAGGCUACGGCUCAACCGUAGUAAGCUUUUGAAACUGUAGGGCUUGAGUGCAGGAGAGGAGAGUAGAAUUCCUAGUGUAGCGGUGAAAUGCGUAGAUAUUAGGAGGAAUACCAGUUGCGAAGGCGGCUCUCUGGACUGUAACUGACGCUGAGGCACGAAAGCGUGGGGAGCGAACAGGAUUAGAUACCCUGGUAGUCCACGCCGUAAACGAUGGAUGCUAGAUGUCGGGG
RNAcentral lists this ribosomal RNA (583 nucleotides) under uncultured bacterium. Its description in RNAcentral is "bacterial SSU rRNA". It matches the Rfam family "Bacterial small subunit ribosomal RNA", at positions 227 to 828 of the family's 1533-position model. The record is from RNAcentral.